This 1283-nucleotide long non-coding RNA is filed under the name Homo sapiens (human). Its description in RNAcentral is "HSALNT0361650". Lineage: Eukaryota; Metazoa; Chordata; Mammalia; Primates; Hominidae. The record is from RNAcentral.
UGGUGAAGCGCCGGGGCUGCUAAUGCUCCCUCCCCUCUUCCUCUUUGGCUCUCUCUCUCUCUUUUUCCAGACACCUUAAGGAAUUCAACAACCCCUCCCCUGCACACAGGCUUCUUCCAGCCAGAUGCCAUGUUGCAAGAUUUCCUCUGGAGAGGGCCUCUUGGCAAGGAACUGAUGUCUCUGGCCAGCAGCCAGCGAGGACCUAAGAUCUGUCAACAGCCAUGCAGAAGGGACAAUGAAUUGUGACUCGGAAAUUAAUCAGAUGAGACCUGAUGACUGAAGUACAUCACAGAGCUAGGAAGAGAGAUUACUAAGCAACACGCCCUUUUUUUCAGACAUCUCAGUUGACAACCUGAGCAAUAGCUCUGACCUGGAAGCAUCCAGCUUUGUAGCCAAAGAGAAAAAGCGCAGACCUUUGUCCCAGAAUUCUCAUCAAAAGUGUCUUUCAUCUCAUUGGCCCUGUGUGAGUCAUGUGCCCACCCCUAAACCAAUCACCAUGGCCUCAGGAAUGCAUUGUGUUGAGUAGUUUAGGCUGGGGUCAGUUUUAUCCCCAUCCAAACAACAGAGCUGAAAUCCGAGGAGAAAUGAUUUCCCAAAGAAAAUUCCAAGGAUCAUUUAACAGAAGAAAUGUACAAGAUUCUGGGGACAGAACUACAGGCAUCCCCCAAGCUCCCAAGGCCUGUAACAAACUUCCACUGCCCUAGGACUCAGCCUCCUGAGGAACCACUUCUCUGUGUAAAUACUUAAACCCAUCCCAUGGCUGACACGCACGUGGCCCAUGGAAAAGUGGCUUCUGUAGGACACACCUCCUCCUUUUCCCAAAUGGACUUUGUUCUUAAAAUCCUUUAAUGAGGAGCAAGCAAGCAUCACUCAUCUAUCUGGAUGUGGACUCAGGGCCAGAGGCAUUUGAUGAUUUAUUAAUUGACCCACCAAAUCUAGUUCGUCCCCAUAGGCCAGUGCUAACAGGCCAUUUCAUUUAUUACUUGGCAAAGUUUGACCUCAUGAAGCAGAUCCCUUUUCAAUUACUUCUUACAGAAAAAUUUCCUUUGGCAAUUCAGUGCAAUGAACUUUUAUUAAGCACCAAGUAUGUGUCAUGGACUGCUGGGCUGGGUACAAAGAUGUGCUCACAACCCAGCAGAUGGAACAGGUCUGUGAAUGAAUGAGUGCAGUGCUGUUCAGACAAUGUUCUAUUCAUUUUCUAAGGCAGCCAUAAGAAAUUGCCACAAACUUGGUGGUUUCACACAAAAGAAAUUUAUUCACUCACACUUCUGGAGGCCAGAAGU